CUCUUCACCCAUUCCUCUUGUCUCGUUUUAGAUCAGUCCAUUGUCGUUGAUUCCCACAGGUUUGUUUUCCAUUUCUUGUUGAUCCCAAUCCUCGGUUCUUCACCGUGCAUUCUCCUGUUUAUGAUUCGUUUCUUAUCAAAGCUCUAAACUUUAUGUCUAGGAUUUGUGAAAAGAACAAACCUUUCCCUCUGAAAUUGAGAAGAUUGAGUUUCUCUGUUUCUGUCUGUUUUAGUUUUCGAAGCCAAUUGUGGUUUAGAGUGUGAAGGUUUUGACUUUAUGAGUUGAGAUUGAAGCCCACUCUUGAUUUGCAACAACAUUUUGUGUUUUUUUUCUAAUUUUGUCCUCAUUUAUGGCUUUGGUAUAUCUUAUGUUUUGAUCCCAAAUUUGAUCAUACAUUAAAUUGAGAAGACUUUGUCUUGCUGUAGUUCCAAUGAGGACAAAAAUACAGUGAUGGGUCCUAUAUAUUCUCGUGUUUAUCUUCCUCUUGGUUAAGAGUUAAGACAAACUGAUAAGUAUGAGCAAAAGAGGCUCUCUUUUUCUUUUUUCUUGUCUUAUGUCAUCACCAUGACUGUAACGGUUUGAGCUGAAUAAGAUUCAAUGUUUCUAUAAUUGUCUCU
This 617-nucleotide long non-coding RNA is filed under the name Capsella grandiflora. RNAcentral describes it as "long non-coding RNA (CGRA_LNC001682)". The record is from RNAcentral. Lineage: Eukaryota; Viridiplantae; Streptophyta; Magnoliopsida; Brassicales; Brassicaceae.